RNAcentral lists this transfer RNA (72 nucleotides) under Echinostoma caproni. It matches the Rfam family "tRNA". From Rfam's summary of the family: Transfer RNA (tRNA) molecules are approximately 80 nucleotides in length. Their secondary structure includes four short double-helical elements and three loops (D, anti-codon, and T loops). The record is from Rfam by way of RNAcentral. Lineage: Eukaryota; Metazoa; Platyhelminthes; Trematoda; Plagiorchiida; Echinostomatidae.
GACCGUGUAGCUUAGGGGUAAGUGUUCAAAGUUCCUACCUGAAUGUUUUCGGUUCGAGUCCUAACACGGUCA